AUGCUCGCUUUGGAAGCACAUAUACUAACACUGGACCGAUACAGAGAAGAUUAGCAUGGCCCCUGCUCAAGGAUGACAUGCAAAUCUGUGAAGCGUUCCAUUAAAAA
Molecule: small nuclear RNA, 107 nt
Organism: Nomascus leucogenys (northern white-cheeked gibbon)
Lineage: Eukaryota; Metazoa; Chordata; Mammalia; Primates; Hylobatidae
Source: Ensembl